This 435-nucleotide ribosomal RNA is filed under the name Mesocestoides corti. Its description in RNAcentral is "SSU rRNA". It matches the Rfam family "Eukaryotic small subunit ribosomal RNA", at positions 60 to 467 of the family's 1831-position model. The record is from RNAcentral. Lineage: Eukaryota; Metazoa; Platyhelminthes; Cestoda; Cyclophyllidea; Mesocestoididae.
UCAGUGCAGGCCUUUAUACGGUGAAACCGCGAAUGGCUCAUUAAAUCAGCUAUGGUUUAUUGGAUCGUACCCGUUAAAUGGAUAACUGUAAUAACUCUAGAGCUAAUACAUGCCUCGAUGCCCUGACCCUCACGGGGAUGGGUGCACUUAUUAGAUCAGAAGCCAACCGUGUUCAGCCGUGGCAACAUGGCUGGGCGCGUUGACCUUCUGGUGACUCUGGAUAAUUGUUACAGAUCGCAGUCGGCCUUGAGUCGGCGACGGGUCCUUCAAAUGUCUGCCCUAUCAACUUUCGAUGGUAGGUGACCUGCCUACCAUGGUGAUAACGGGUAACGGGGAAUCAGGGUUCGAUUCCGGAGAGGGAGCCUGAGAAACGGCUACCACUUCCAAGGGAGGCAGCAGGCGCGCAAAUUACCCACUCCCAGUACGGGGAGGUGG